ACGGCUGAGUAACGCGUGGGUGACCUGCCGAGGAGUGGGGAAUAACUGCCCGAAAGGGUGGCUAAUACCGCAUACGCUCGUCUCGCAAGAGAUGAGGAAAGUCGCAAGACGCUCUUUGAGGGGCCCGCGUCCGAUUAGCUUGUUGGUGGGGUAACGGCCUACCAAGGCGACGAUCGGUAGUUGGUCUCAGAGGAUGAUCAGCCAGACUGGGACUGAGAGACGGCCCAG
RNAcentral lists this ribosomal RNA (228 nucleotides) under uncultured bacterium. RNAcentral's name for it is "partial 16S ribosomal RNA". It matches the Rfam family "Bacterial small subunit ribosomal RNA", at positions 102 to 334 of the family's 1533-position model. The record is from RNAcentral.